AUGUACCACUCGGACACGCGGUUCCUGCGCGCCGUCCACGCCCAGCUGGCGACUGUUGGCUACGUCUUGUUAUCC
RNAcentral lists this small RNA (75 nucleotides) under Xanthomonas vasicola. RNAcentral describes it as "sX9 sRNA". It matches the Rfam family "Xanthomonas sRNA sX9". The record is from RNAcentral. Lineage: Bacteria; Pseudomonadati; Pseudomonadota; Gammaproteobacteria; Lysobacterales; Lysobacteraceae.